This is a long non-coding RNA of Paramisgurnus dabryanus, 1026 nucleotides long. RefSeq lists it as uncharacterized. The record is from RefSeq and is a predicted model, not a curated record. Lineage: Eukaryota; Metazoa; Chordata; Actinopteri; Cypriniformes; Cobitidae.
UAGGGCCCCACUAUAAAACCUCGGAAAUUGAAUUGAACAGAAGCGAUACAAUUUCAUUUGAUUGUUUAAUUCUGUAUUGCAUGAUCUCUACAGCAUCUUACAAUGUGCGCAAUCAUCAGAGGAGCCGUCCUGCUUUAUCUUUUCUGUUUCUGGACUCAGAGAAGGGUGGAUGCCAUAACACCCGAAGUUUUGGCAAGCAUCACACGUGAUAUUAUAAGAGUGACCAACAUGAAUAAUCAGUAUGCUUUCGCUGUUGUUUUACCACAAGAUGAAUGCAACCACCAUUAUACACAUGGCUUUACCAACAAUGCUGCUCAGCUAAUUCGUAGAGCACUCAAUGGCAACAAUCGAAUGUAUUUGGGUGAAAGAGUAAUAGCUGCCCGGCCUUUGUUUAACACUGAUUUUACUGACCAUGCAGAGUAUCGGUUACUGGUAAACGAUCAACGGGAAAGUCAUAUGGGCGAUUUAAUAAACAGAUGGAAUAUCGAGCAAUCCUGUACUGUAUUCUUCACUUUGUACUCACCAUGUGUAGAAAAAUGCUCAAACCCAAGACACCCUUACAACAUUCUCCAAUACUUAGAUGUUUUUAGCAAUCUAGAUCACAACAGGGUUGCUUUUGUGUUUCAGGAUAUUUUCGAUCAAAGCAUAUCCAGGCGAGAUAUGUUAAAUCUGCUUAAGAGCAUUCAUGAAAAUGGGGGAAAUGUCCCUGUGUAUCGGUGUCCGGCUGGAAGUAAUACUUGUUUUAACUGUAUGGCUACCUUAAACAGACGGAACAACAGAUGUCUUGAGGGACUGCCAAAUUAACAUUUUGCAUUAACUGGUUUGAGAAAUGCUAUAUGUUAAUUAAUCUGUGGCUCAUUGAUCAAAGCAUACUAUUUCUUAAAAUAAGUUGUUUUCUCAUUAUAAGAUACAUAAAAAAAAUUAUAUUCUGCCUUUUGUGUUUUUGAUAUUUUACUGCUUCAUUAUGCUUACAAGCAUGCCUUGAACUCCGAUAAAUAACAAUAAAACUGUAGCAUUAAGAAAGUA